RNAcentral lists this transfer RNA (67 nucleotides) under Haliscomenobacter sp. RNAcentral describes it as "tRNA-Pro". The record is from RNAcentral. Lineage: Bacteria; Pseudomonadati; Bacteroidota; Saprospiria; Saprospirales; Haliscomenobacteraceae.
CGGGGCGACCAGCCCGUAGGCACCUGCUUUGGGAGCAGGGUCCCAGGUUCGAAUCCUGGUGCCCCGA